CAGUAGCCGCGGGAAUACGUAGGUGGCAAGCGUUGUCCGGAAUUAUUGGGCGUAAAGGGCUCGCAGGCGGUUUCUUAAGUCUGAUGUGAAAACCCCCGGCUCAACCGGGGAGGGUCAUUGGAAACUGGGAAACUUGAGUGCAGAAGAGGAGAGUGGAAUUCCACGUGUAGCGGUGAAAUGCGUAGAGAUGUGGAGGAACACCAGUGGCGAAGGCGACUCUCUGGUCUGUAACUGACGCUGAGGAGCGAAAGCGUGGGGAGCGAACAGGAUUAGAUACCCGCGUAGUCCCUGUCUCUUAUAC
Molecule: ribosomal RNA, 301 nt
Filed under: uncultured bacterium
Lineage: Bacteria
Description: partial 16S ribosomal RNA
Rfam family: Bacterial small subunit ribosomal RNA
Source: RNAcentral